This 377-nucleotide ribosomal RNA is filed under the name uncultured bacterium. Its description in RNAcentral is "bacterial SSU rRNA". It matches the Rfam family "Bacterial small subunit ribosomal RNA", at positions 523 to 898 of the family's 1533-position model. The record is from RNAcentral.
AGACGUAGGGGGCGAGCGUUGUCCGGAAUUACUGGGCGUAAAGAGCACGUAGGCGGGGAUCUAAGUCGGAUGUGAAAGACCGGGGCUCAACUCCGGGAUUGCAUCGGAAACUGGAUUUCUUGAGGGCAGGAGAGGAAAGCAGAAUUCCUGGUGUAGCGGUGAAAUGCGUAGAAAUCAGGAGGAAUACCGGUGGCGAAGGCGGCUUUCUGGACUGACCCUGACGCUGAGGUGCGAAAGCGUGGGUAGCAAACAGGAUUAGAUACCCUGGUAGUCCACGCCGUAAACGAUGGAUACUAGGUGUAGGAGGUAUCGACCCCUUCUGUGCCGGAGCAAACGCAAUAAGUAUCCCGCCUGGGGAGUACGAUCGCAAGGUUGAA